This 655-nucleotide long non-coding RNA is filed under the name Fukomys damarensis (Damara mole-rat). RNAcentral describes it as "lncRNA (ENSFDAG00000025521.1)". The record is from RNAcentral. Lineage: Eukaryota; Metazoa; Chordata; Mammalia; Rodentia; Bathyergidae.
AGGCACUGGUGGGAGGAGAGAAACGAUGAACAACACUGGGGGGUAUGGACGGCACUGCGCAGAAGGCGUCUGAGGCUCUGCUCUCCCUCCCUUCUUUCUCCUCUCCCUCCCUUCCUUCCCUCCUUCCUCUGUCUCUUCUGAUUUCCUCUUUCCUUGUCUCCCUCCCUUGCUUCCCUUCCUAUUUCACUCCUUUCCUUCCUUCCUCCGUCUCCUGCCCAGCACCACUUUUUUUCUGUCCUUUCCUUCUCCUCUCUUCCAUCUUUCUCUCUUCUUUACUCCUCUUUCCUCCCAUCUGACCUUCCAUUCUGUCUGUGUUCUCUCUCCUUCCUGCCUUUCUCCCUCCCUUUCCUGCGUUUAUCCAGAGCACAACUUCCUGAGGAGCACAGACAAGCCAGACCCCCGUGGGGACAGAAGCCUGCCUGGGGACCACCGCCCGUCUCCAAAUCCCUCUCAUCAGGCCUUGCCCUUUCACUGGGCUCUCGGGCUUUUCAAGGAUUAUAAUGGAUGGAACCACAAGAUACACUGUUUUCACCGACUCACAGGGAAAGCCAUGAAUUGUCCUUUAUUUCAGGGACCAGAGGUAAUCUGUCCAGCGGAGGGGGAUCCAUUUGCCCGGAGUGAGGGCCACAAACACAGAUGGAGAGUUUCCUCCUAG